CUGGCGGGAUGAGUAUUCCAAGGCGCUUGAGAGAACUCAGGAGAAGGAACUCGGCAAAUUAGUACCGUAACUUCGGGAUAAGGUACGCCCCUAGUAGGUGAAAGUGUACAACUGGAGCCGAAUGGGGUCGCAGUGAAAAGGUGGCUGCGACUGUUUAACAAAAACACAGCACUCUGCAAACACGUCAAGUGGACGUAUAGGGUGUGACGCCUGCCCGGUGCCGUAAGGUUAAGUGAUGGGGUGCAAGCUCUUGAUCGAAGCCCCGGUAAACGGCGGCCGUAACAAUAACGGUCCUAAGGUAGCGAAAUUCCUUGUCGGGUAAGUUCCGACCUGCACGAAUGGCGUAACGAUGGCCACACUGUCUCCUCCUGAGACUCAGCGAAGUUGAAGUGUUUGUGAUGAUGCAAUCUCCCCGCUGCAAGACGGAAAGACCCCGUGCACCUUUACUGCAACUUUGCAUUGGACUUUGAUGAGAUUUGUGUAGGAUAGCUGGGAGACUUUGAAGUGGGGGCGCUAGCUCUCAUGGAGUCGACGUUGAAAUACCAGCCUGAUGUUAUUGAGGUUCUAACCUGGAUCCGUAAUCCGGAUCGGGGACCGUGCAUGGUGGGCAGUUUGACUGGGGCGGUCUCCUCCCAAAGAGUAACGGAGGAGUGCGACGGUACGCUUAGCGCGGUCGGCUAUCGCGCUGUAUGUGCAAUGGCAAAAGCGUGCUUAACUGCGAGACGGACAUGUCGAGCAGGUGCGAAAGCAGGUCAUAGUGAUCCGGUGGUUCUGUAUGGAAGGGCCAUCGCUCAACGGAUAAAAGGUACGCCGGGGAUAACAGGCUGAUUCCUCCCAAGAGUUCAUAUCGACGGGGGAGUUUGGCACCUCGAUGUCGGCUCAUCACAUCCUGGGGCUGUAGCCGGUCCCAAGGGUAUGGCUGUUCGCCAUUUAAAGUGGUACGUGAGCUGGGUUCAAAACGUCGUGAGACAGUUUGGUCCCUAUCUGCAGUGGGCGUUGGAAGUUUGAGGGGGGCUGCUCCUAGUACGAGAGGACCGGAGUGGACGCAUCUCUGGUGUACCGGUUGUCACGCCAGUGGCAUCGCCGGGUAGCUAAAUGCGGAAAAGAUAAGCGCUGAAAGCAUCUAAGCGCGAAACUUGCCUCAAGAUGAGACUUCCCGGGAACUUGAUUCCCCUAAAGGGUCGCGGAAGACCACCGCGUUGAUAGGUCGGGUGUGUAAGAGCAGUAAUGCUUUGAGCUAACCGAUACUAAUUGCCCGUGAGGCUUGAUCCG
Molecule: ribosomal RNA, 1272 nt
Filed under: metagenome
Description: bacterial LSU rRNA
Rfam family: Bacterial large subunit ribosomal RNA
Source: RNAcentral